GUGAGUAUAAAGAGGGCAUCGAGGAUACAGGAAGGUGUGUUGUUUUUGCCUCCCAAGGAACGCCACGAGUGGGACGGAGUGUUUGGGCGCUGGAGUAGGGCGAAGCAGAUGAGAGCAAUUGUGGAGUCGCUAAGCGAAUUGGAGGAUUUGAAAACGGCCACUGGAACAGGUUUGCCAAAGGGAAGUUUAUGGGAAGAAGUCGUACUCACUCGUGUCUGUUGUACGAAGGUGCCGUAGGGAAAUAGUGACAUUGUGGAACAACGAAGACAUUUCUGGGCGUCUGUACGAAGCUGGGGAGAGAAAGAGAGCGGGAGAAGAUUAGUCUUACGAAGACUGUGAGUACAUUGGAUUGCUUAGAUUGUUGUUUAUAUCUGGAUGAGAAAGAGAGCGGGAGAAGAUCAGUAUCACGAAGACUCUUGUUGAGCGGCCCCAUCGUUGGAGGACGAGACGAGUGGGUGAGCCGAAGUAGAGCGUGGGUGAAUGGUUGUUAUUUGGCUGUGGCCACACCGUAAAGUUUGGAGCACUUACCGUGACAGCGACUGCAAACUCCUCCAGGACGAAAUCCGACCGGGCGUGGAGUACCGACCUUAAAAAUCACUGAAGUGUGUGUAGUGCAGUGGGUGAGUCUGUCUUUGACGUGUGUACACCAAAGCUUUGCAGUGCUGUGCCGUGUCCCUGUUGUCUGUACUCGCCCUCCAGGCCGAGAAAAGUUGCUGUUGGAGAGAACGUAGGCUGCCGUGGCGGUGCCCACCUAUUCCACUUACGCCCGCCUAUAACUCCGUUCUCCGGACCCAGCUCGAAGGUGAAGUGUGAAAGCAAAACAAGGUAUUGUGCGGAUAUUGUGGGGAAAGCUACUGACCUUGAAUACGCCCUGUAAAGCCCAGCGUGAAGAUACAGUUACUUGUUGAAUACUUACCUGUCUGUACGAGCUAAAAGCUAUUGCCCUUGAAUACGCCCUGUAAGCCCAGCGUGAAGAUACAGCCACUUGUUGAAUACUUACCUCUCUGUACGAGCUAAAAGCUGCUGACCUUGAAUACGCCCUGUAAAGCCCAGUGUGAAGAUACAGCUACUUGUUGAAUACUUACCCGCCUGCACGAGUUAAAAGCCAUUGCUCUGGAACCCGCUCAGUAAGUCUAGUGUGAAGAGUCAGUCACCUUGCUCAAUAUCUAUCUGUGAUACGAGUAAAAAGUUACUCGCUUCUGAUAUACCGGUGGACAUCCAGGGGCAUGGCCUAGUUACCUUACCGUUGUUCCUUACCUGUGCCCUCAGGGAUUUGGGUGUUACCAAUAUCUACCUAGGAGGUCUAUGGGAGUGGAGGAGCUGUCCAGACGCUGGUGAAGUACAACCCAAAGAGCAAAGAAGCUAGGAACCAGGCAUUCUUCGUUUUACCCAUUACUCAUUGUGUGUUCUUGUUGCCUUCAG
This is a long non-coding RNA of Cyprinus carpio carpio, 1422 nucleotides long. The record is from Ensembl. NCBI's taxonomy places the organism in Eukaryota, Metazoa, Chordata, Actinopteri, Cypriniformes, Cyprinidae.